CCUACGGGUGACAGCAGUAGGGAAUCUUCCACAAUGGGCGAAAGCCUGAUGGAGCAACGCCGCGUGGGUGAAGAAGGUCUUCGGAUCGUAAAACCCUGUUGUUAGGGAAGAAAGUGCGUGAGAGUAACUGUUCACGUUUCGACGGUAUCUAACCAGAAAGCCACGGCUAACUACGUGCCAGCAGCCGCGGUAAUACGUAGGUGGCAAGCGUUAUCCGGAUUUAUUGGGCGUAAAGGGAACGCAGGCGGUCUUUUAAGUCUGAUGGGAAAGCCUUCGGCUUAACCGGAGUAGUGCAUUGGAAACUGGGAGACUUGAGUGCAGAAGAGGAGAGUGGAACUCCAUGUGUAGCGGGGAAAUGCGUAGAUAUAUGGAAGAACACCAGUGGCGAAAGCGGCUCUCUGGUCUGUAACUGACGCUGAGGUUCGAAAGCGUGGGUAGCAAACAGGAUUAGAUACCCGAGUAGUC
This 465-nucleotide ribosomal RNA is filed under the name uncultured bacterium. Its description in RNAcentral is "partial 16S ribosomal RNA". It matches the Rfam family "Bacterial small subunit ribosomal RNA", at positions 338 to 795 of the family's 1533-position model. The record is from RNAcentral.